RNAcentral lists this ribosomal RNA (433 nucleotides) under uncultured bacterium. RNAcentral's name for it is "partial 16S ribosomal RNA". It matches the Rfam family "Bacterial small subunit ribosomal RNA", at positions 29 to 507 of the family's 1533-position model. The record is from RNAcentral.
AACGAACGCUGGCGGCAGGCCUAACACAUGCAAGUCGAGCGAGGACUUCGGUCCUAGCGGCGGACGGGUGAGUAACGCGUGGGAACGUUCCCUUUGCUUCGGAAUAGCCCUGGGAAACUGGGAGUAAUACCGGAUGAGCCCUUUGGGGGAAAGAUGUAUCGGCGAAGGAUCGGCCCGCGUUGGAUUAGGUAGUUGGUGGGGUAAUGGCCUACCAAGCCGGAGAUCCAUAGCUGGUUUGAGAGGAUGAUCAGCCACACUGGGACUGAGACACGGCCCAGACUCCUACGGGAGGCAGCAGUGGGGAAUCUUAGACAAUGGGGGAAACCAUGAUCUAGCCAUGCCGCGUGAGCGAUGAAGGCGUUAGGGUUGUAAAGCUCUUUCAGCUGGGAAGAUAAUGACGGUACCAGCAGAAGAAGCCCCGGCUAACUCCGUG